Molecule: ribosomal RNA, 253 nt
Filed under: uncultured bacterium
Lineage: Bacteria
Description: partial 16S ribosomal RNA
Rfam family: Bacterial small subunit ribosomal RNA
Source: RNAcentral
UACGUAGGGUCCGAGCGUUGUCCGGAAUUACUGGGCGUAAAGGGCGCGUAGGCGGCCAUCUAAGUCAGACGUGAAAUCCCCCGGCUUAACCUGGGAACUGCGUCUGAUACUGGACGGCUUGAGUAUGGGAGAGGGAUGUAGAAUUCCAGGUGUAGCGGUGAAAUGCGUAGAUAUCUGAAGGAACAUCAGUGGCGAAAGCGACUUCCUGGACCAAUACUGACGCUCAUGUGCGAAAGCGUGGGGAGCAAACAGG